UGCAGGUUCAAGCUAGCAUGAACAACUUAGUAAGACCCUGCCUCAAAAAAAAAAAAAGGGGGUGUUGGGACAUAGCUCAGCGUGGAAGCCCUAGGUUUAAGCCUCAGUGUCACGAAAACAACAACAACAAAAUUCACCAUAUAUUUUGAUCAGGUGUAUGCUGAUUGCAUACACCUUGCAUCUGGUGUAUGCUGAUUUAACAGGGCUUAGGGCCAACUAUAGGACUCCUGGAGAGUUGGACUCUCCUGAAGAGCUUAAACCAUAAAUUCUAUAGCCAACAAAAGUCUGAUCAGCAGCCACUGUAAAACACACUGAAACUGGAAAAUGAGAUUAGACAGCAUCAGAGAAAGGGGGAUAAACAGGCUGUCUGGGGUGUAGCUCAGUGAUCUUGUUUGUUUGUUUGUUUUAGGUUUGGGUCUCGCUAAGCAGUUCAGGCUGGCAUUGAACUCACUUUAUAGCCCAGGAUGGCCUUGAACUGGCAGCAAUCCUCCUGCCUCAGCCUACCAAGUACUGGGAUUAUAGGCAUGAGCCACUACGCCCAGGAUCUGAACUACCUUCUGUGCCUCAUGCCAUCCUGCUUAGUUCUGUAAAAAUCAGACACAGUCUUCCAGUUUGAGGCACUAAAACCCAACAAGUGAAACAACCAAAUUCAAAAAUGGCUAACAAGUCCUCUCUAGGCUGUGUUAGCACCCUCUGCUUGGGGACACUACAGAGAGAGGCACAGUUCAAUGUGUGGUCACACCGUUUUCACUGUUGCCUCUUCUCACUGACUACGCUUCCUGGAGAGCAGCUUGGUUACCUGUCACCUUCUUCCCCAGUGCCCAGGGCUGUGCCCUGUGCUGUGCUCUGUGCUUGACAAGUGAAUGGGAUAGGUGUUAGUGAAAUGGACAGAAGGGUGGGCUUGAAGGUCCAGGUUCCCCCAGCAGGGCCUCCCAGUUUGGCACUAGGAAACAUGCUCUACUGUCUAGGACCCAGCAUUAACCUUGACGGAUAAAGGAGAUUAACAGGAGCUACUAGCUUCCUAACAGGCUGACAGUCUCAGAGGAAAAAGAAAAUCAGUUUGAGACACAGAUACAUCUUGGGAACCUGGCUCUGACUGCUGGAGGCGGAGACAAGUCUGUGUCCAGGUCAGAGGGUGCAGGAGCUUCCAGGGUUCCAUCCUGGGCUACAUAUCUCAGUGAAGUCACAGGAAGUUCUGAAUCUAAUCCCAUAUCAAUAGAAACUAUCACUAUAAAUAAUCUACUUUCUGGAGCCUGAAGAUAAUACAAGCGUAAGCAACACUGAAAUUAGUCUUCUUCCCUGGUAAAAAACAGUCUCCAAAGCUUUAAUUAUUCAUGUUCUAGAAGCUUAAAGCAUUAAACUUAUAAUGACUGCACUUUCCCAUAGAGACAAUGUCAAGCUCUCAAGUCAGCAGCUCACAAAAGACAAUUUAAAUCCUUCAUGUUACUGAGGUGUGGUAGCAGGGAAAAGCCCCGCAGCUACAUCUUACUACAACUCAUGCUGUUUCUACAACAAAAUGUAGUUCUCUGUCAGGAUGACAGGACCCCAUCUAGCACAACUUCCUCGGCAGAGAGAAACACAAUUCUCCGAGAUGGCAGCGGACGUCAGUCAUACCACACCCCAACUUUCAUCACAUGGACUUUGGCACUGAAGACAAAACCUGCUGGGCCACAAAACACAGAGGUUCGCACUCCACUGUCUAUCACACCCUCCCAUCUGCCCUAACAUGAUUGCACAGCAAAACUCUAGCCAGGAAGAAAAAUGCACAGUCACAGUAACUGUAUUAGACAAUUAGGAGGUGUACUGCAUAUCACUCAAGUCUUUUUUUUUUUUGGUCUUUUUUUUGAGACGGGGUCUCGCUAUGCAGUUCAGGCUGGCCUUGAGCUCACUUUGUAUCCCAGGCUGGUCUCAAACUCCAAACGAUCCUCCCAAGUGCUGGGAUUACAGGUGUGAGCCACCACACCCGGCUAUAACACUCAAAUCUUAAAAAAGGAUUCCAAAUCACUGACAAGUGAACAAGUCUACUGAAUAAAAAACUAAACACUGGGAGGAAGAGAAAAGUCAGCACCUCCAGAGAAUCAGCAAUGCUAGCUGUGAUCGGGAGAAUCCAACAAGACGACAACUGGUCAGCCUUUCCGGGCCUUGCUCAGGCUGGAUUUGAACUUAUGAUCCUCCUGCUUCAACUUCCUAUAUUGCUGGAAUUACAGGGAGUACAGAUCCUUCAGCUGGUUGACAGAGAUCCUUCAGCAUCACUGAAGAGAGCUCACUGCUGAUCCCAGCUGUCUGGUCCCUGGUGAGCAGCAGUGACUGGCAGGGAGCCCAAAUGUGUAUCAAACUAUUGC
This is a long non-coding RNA of Cavia porcellus (domestic guinea pig), 2342 nucleotides long. RefSeq lists it as uncharacterized. The record is from RefSeq and is a predicted model, not a curated record. Lineage: Eukaryota; Metazoa; Chordata; Mammalia; Rodentia; Caviidae. The transcript has 3 exons.